RNAcentral lists this ribosomal RNA (460 nucleotides) under uncultured bacterium. RNAcentral's name for it is "partial 16S ribosomal RNA". It matches the Rfam family "Bacterial small subunit ribosomal RNA", at positions 338 to 795 of the family's 1533-position model. The record is from RNAcentral.
CCUACGGGGGGCAGCAGUGAGGAAUAUUGGUCAAUGGACGAGAGUCUGAACCAGCCAAGUAGCGUGAAGGAUGACUGCCCUAUGGGUUGUAAACUUCUUUUAUAUGGGAAUAAAAUGUUCCACGUGUGUGAUUUUGUAUGUACCAUAUGAAUAAGGAUCGGCUAACUCCGUGCCAGCAGCCGCGGUAAUACGGAGGAUCCGAGCGUUAUCCGGAUUUAUUGGGUUUAAAGGGAGCGUAGGUGGAUUGUUAAGUCAGUUGUGAAAGUUUGCGGCUCAACCGUAAAAUUGCAGUUGAAACUGGCAGUCUUGAGUACAGUAGAGGUGGGCGGAAUUCGUGGUGUAGCGGUGAAAUGCUUAGAUAUCACGAAGAACUCCGAUUGCGAAGGCAGUUCACUGGACUGCAACUGACACUGAGGCUCGAAAGUGUGGGUAUCAAACAGGAUUAGAUACCCGUGUAGUC